Long non-coding RNA from Mobula hypostoma (lesser devil ray), 743 nucleotides. RefSeq lists it as uncharacterized. Lineage: Eukaryota; Metazoa; Chordata; Chondrichthyes; Myliobatiformes; Myliobatidae. The record is from RefSeq and is a predicted model, not a curated record. The transcript is spliced from 3 exons.
CCUUUCUCUUUCAUGCUACCUCCGAGGGACCACCCUGCCGUUGGUGAAUUGUGCAUUGAAUAGGGUUAGGGGUGUGGGUAUCAUCCCUAAUAUCAUAAGAGCCGUGCCCAAACAGAGUCAAGGGGUGUCAGGGUAAAUGGGACAAUCUAUCAGCAUUUCCAUUACUAGUUGUCCUCUUGAAUUCAAUCUUGUAAUUGUGUCCUCCAAGAAAAAGAGCCCAUCCCUGCAUUCGUGCUGCUACUGUUAGUGGAACACCUUUCUGUGAAUUGAAAAUGGACACCAGUGACUGAUGAUCAGUAAUGAGGGGGAUGUGGCAUGAAAAUUGUGGCUGGAUCUCCAAUCAAGUUCUUGUCCCUGCCGAUCAUGGUCCCACAAUUUGGCCCUCCUGUUUUUACCACAUACAAACCCAAUGUGACUUUUGUUUGUUGUUACUGUUAUGAAUGACAUUCCCACAGGAGUUAUCUUUUCUCCAGUAUGUUAUUAUUUGGAUAUCUGCAGGCUUCAGUUCAGUAUCUUUGAAAUCCAUUCAAACUCAUUGUGGAAUGACUGAAACAGCUGAGCCAUUGUCUGAUUCUAUUUUAGUUAAUUCGCCAUUCUGGUGUAAGCCAUAUUGCUCGUCUAUUGUUAGUUUUCUCAUUGUAAAUCUUAAGGCUACCCAUUGCUGGGUCACUCUUAUCAUUACCAGACUUUUCAUCAACAGUAUGGAGAUUAGUGCUGGUUUUGAAACUGCAACUUGGCUUUUU